UACAACUACAACAACAACUACACCUGCAAUACCGCUUAAAAUUACGUUGUUAACCAUAUCCUUCAAACUGAAUGAUAUUUUCACAGCUGACUUAAUGAAUGAAAGUAGUUCCAAAUAUUUAAAGUAUAAAAACGAUAUUCAACCAGUUAUCCAGGCACAGUAUCAGAGUAACCUUCCAGGGUUUAUUUCAGCAGCACUGACAGGUUUUGGACCCGGAAGUGUUAUAGUCGGCUUUUCAGUUCUGACCACAGGUGCAAACCAAACUGAAAUUAAUAACGCCAAUAAUGGACUUGCAACAUCAC
Long non-coding RNA from Esox lucius (northern pike), 302 nucleotides. RefSeq lists it as uncharacterized. NCBI's taxonomy places the organism in Eukaryota, Metazoa, Chordata, Actinopteri, Esociformes, Esocidae. The record is from RefSeq and is a predicted model, not a curated record. The transcript is spliced from 4 exons.